This 350-nucleotide ribosomal RNA is filed under the name uncultured bacterium. Its description in RNAcentral is "bacterial SSU rRNA". It matches the Rfam family "Bacterial small subunit ribosomal RNA", at positions 1 to 334 of the family's 1533-position model. The record is from RNAcentral.
GUGAGUAGUUCAGAGUUUGAUCCUGGCUCAGGAUGAACGCUAGCGGCAGGCUUAACACAUGCAAGUCGAGGGGCAGCAUGAGACGGAGAUUCGUCAAAGUCUUGAUGGCGACCGGCGCAAGGGUGCGUAACGCGUGAGCAACUUGCCCGUUUCUGGGGAAUAACCGGUGGAAACGCCGACUAAUACUCCAUGGUACAUUUGUGAGGCAUCUUACAGAUGUUAAAGAUUUAUCGGAAACGGAUAGGCUCGCGUGACAUUAGCUAGAUGGCGGGGUAACGGCCCACCAUGGCGACGAUGUCUAGGGGUUCUGAGAGGAAGGUCCCCCACACUGGAACUGAGACACGGUCCAG